Molecule: ribosomal RNA, 465 nt
Filed under: uncultured bacterium
Lineage: Bacteria
Description: partial 16S ribosomal RNA
Rfam family: Bacterial small subunit ribosomal RNA
Source: RNAcentral
CCUACGGGAGGCAGCAGUAGGGAAUCUUCCACAAUGGGCGAAAGCCUGAAGGAGCAACGCCGCGUGGGUGAAGAAGGUCUUCGGAUCGUAAAACCCUGUUGUUCGAGAAGCAAGUGCGUGAGCGUAACUGUUCACGUUUCGACGGUAUCUAACCAGAACGCCACGGCUCACUACGUGUCAGCCGCUGCGGUAAUACGUAGGUGGCAAGCGUUAUCCGGAUUUAUUGGGCGUAAAGGGAACGCAGGCGGUCUUUUAAGUCUGAUGUGAAAGGCUUCGGCGUAACCGGCGUAGUGCAUUGGAAACUGGGAGACUUGAGUGCAGAAGAGGAAAGCGGAACGCCAUGUGUAGCGGUGAAAUGCGUAGAUAUAUCGAAGAACCCCAGUGGCGAAGGCGGCGCUCUGGUCUGUAACUGACGCUGAGGUUCGAAAGCGUGGGUAGCGAACAGGAUUAGAUACCCCUGUAGUC